This 484-nucleotide ribosomal RNA is filed under the name uncultured bacterium. RNAcentral describes it as "partial 16S ribosomal RNA". It matches the Rfam family "Bacterial small subunit ribosomal RNA", at positions 30 to 507 of the family's 1533-position model. The record is from RNAcentral.
AUUGAACGCUGGCGGCAGGCCUAACACAUGCAAGUCGAGCGGAUGAAGGGAGCUUGCUCCUGGAUUCAGCGGCGGCUGGGUGAGUAAUGCCUAGGAAUCUGCCUGGUAGUGGGGGAUAACGUCCGGAAACGGGCGCUAAUACCGCAUACGUCCUGAGGGAGAAAGUGGGGGAUCUUCGGACCUCACGCUAUCAGAUGAGCCUAGGUCGGAUUAGCUAGUUGGUGGGGUAAAGGCCUACCAAGGCGACGAUCCGUAACUGGUCUGAGAGGAUGAUCAGUCACACUGGAACUGAGACACGGUCCAGACUCCUACGGGAGGCAGCAGUGGGGAAUAUUGGACAAUGGGCGAAAGCCUGAUCCAGCCAUGCCGCGUGUGUGAAGAAGGUCUUCGGAUUGUAAAGCACUUUAAGUUGGGAGGAAGGGCAGUAAGUUAAUACCUUGCUGUUUUGACGUUACCAACAGAAUAAGCACCGGCUAACUUCGUG